UACGAAGGGGGCUAGCGUUGCUCGGAAUUACUGGGCGUAAAGGGCGCGUAGGCGGCACUGUUAGUCAGGCGUGAAAUUCCUGGGCUCAACCUGGGGACUGCGCUUGAUACGGCAGAGCUUGAGGAUGGAAGAGGGUCGCGGAAUUCCAGGUGUAGCGGUGAAAUGCGUAGAUAUCUGGAGGAACACCGGUGGCGAAGGCGGCAUCCUGGACCAACACUGACGCUGAGGAGCGAAAGCCAGGGGAGCAAACGGG
Molecule: ribosomal RNA, 253 nt
Filed under: uncultured bacterium
Lineage: Bacteria
Description: partial 16S ribosomal RNA
Rfam family: Bacterial small subunit ribosomal RNA
Source: RNAcentral